AGCUUUGCGCAGUGGCGAUAUCGUAACCAAUGAGGUACAACCGAGGUGCGAUUAUUGCUAGUUGAAAACUAAUACUAAUUUUUUCCUCCUAAUGACCUAUGCUGUCGGCUCCGACAGCAUAGGUCAUUAAAUUGACUUUACGCUUGUC
Topomyia yanbarensis is the source of this 148-nucleotide small nuclear RNA. RefSeq annotates it as U4 spliceosomal RNA. The record is from RefSeq and is a predicted model, not a curated record. The transcript has a single exon. Lineage: Eukaryota; Metazoa; Arthropoda; Insecta; Diptera; Culicidae.